AGUGGAUGGGGAGCAACCUAGUUGUGCGUGUGUAAAGGUAGUGCCAAGAAAAGCGAUGAUCAUGUUGAAAAUCAAUUCCCGGUACCCGAAACCGACACAGGUGUCAAGUAGAGAAUACUAAGGGGCGCGAGGUAACUCUCUCCAAGGAACUCGGCAAAAUGACCCCGUAACUUAGGGAGAAGGGGUGCCACCGAGAGGUGGUCGCAGUGAAGAGGCCCAGGCGACUGUUUAGCAAAAACAUAGGUCUCUGCAAACUCGAAAGAGGAGGUAUAGGGGCUGACGCCUGCCCAGUGCCGGAAGGUUAAAGAAGUUGGUCAGUUUUAGGAUGAAGCUAGCGACUGAAGCCCCGGUGAACGGCGGCCGUAACUAUAACGGUCCUAAGGUAGCGAAAUUCCUUGUCGGGUAAGUUCCGACCCGCACGAAAGGCGUAACGAUCUGGGCGCUGUCUCGGAGAGAGGCUCGGCGAAAUAGGAUUGUCUGUGAAGAUACGGACUACCUGCAUUUGGACAGAAAGACCCUAUGAAGCUUUACUAUAGCUUGGAAUUGUGUUCGGGCUUCCUGUGCGCAGGAUAGGUGGGAGGCGUAGAAGGUAUUCUUGUGGGGAUACUGGAGCCAACGGUGAGAUACCACUCUCAGGAGGCUAGAAUUCUAACUUAAUUAAGGACAGUUUCAGGUGGGUAGUUUGACUGGGGCGGUCGCCUCCAAAAAGGUAACGGAGGCGUACAAAGGUUCCCUCAGACUGGUUGGAAAUCAGUCGAAGAGUGCAAAGGCAGAAGGGAGCUUGACUGCGAGAAGUACAGUUCGAGCAGGGUGGAAACACGGUCUUAGUGAUCCGACGGUGCUGUGUGGAAGGGCCGUCGCUCAACGGAUAAAAGUUACUCUAAGGAUAACAGGCUGAUCUCCCCCAAGAGUUCACAUCGACGGGGAGGUUUGGCACCUCGAUGUCGGCUCAUCGCAACCUGGGGCGGAAGUACGUCCCAAGGGUUGGGCUGUUCGCCCAUUAAAGCGGUACGUGAGCUGGGUUCAGAACGUCGUGAGACAGUUCGGUCCAUAUCCGAUGUAGGCGUGAGAAUAUUGAGAGGAGCCUUCCUUAGUACGAGAGGACCGGGAAGGACGCACCGCUGGUGUACCUGUUAUGAUGCCAAUUGUAAACGCAGGGUAGCCAAGUGCGGAGAGGAUAACCGCUGAAAGCAUCUAAGUGGGAAGCCCACCUCAAGAUGAGUAUUCUGGUGUAAGGUCACGGGAAGACGACCCGUAAAUAGGCACGAGGUGGAAGUGCAGAGAUGUAUGAAGCCGAAGUGUACUAAUAGACCGUCGGCUUGACCA
This 1326-nucleotide ribosomal RNA is filed under the name metagenome. RNAcentral describes it as "bacterial LSU rRNA". It matches the Rfam family "Bacterial large subunit ribosomal RNA", at positions 1561 to 2925 of the family's 2925-position model. The record is from RNAcentral.